CCUACGGGAGGCAGCAGUGGGGAAUCUUGCGCAAUGGGGGCAACCCUGACGCAGCCAUGCCGCGUGAAUGAUGAAGGCCUUAGGGUUGUAAAGUUCUUUUGCCCGUGACGAUGAUGACGGUAACGGGAGAAUAAGCUCCGGCUAACUUCGUGCCAGCAGCCGCGGUAAUACGAAGGGGGCUAGCGUUGUUCGGAAUUACUGGGCGUAAAGCGCGCGCAGGCGGUUCGAUAAGUUAGGGGUGAAAUCCCUGGGCUCAACCCAGGAAUGGCCUUUAAGACUGUCGAGCUAGAGGACGAGAGAGGUGAGUGGAAUUCCCAGUGUAGAGGUGAAAUUCGUAGAUAUUGGGAAGAACACCGGUGGCGAAGGCGGCUCACUGGCUCGUUUCUGACGCUGAGGCGCGAAAGCGUGGGGAGCAAACAGGAUUAGAUACCCUGGUAGUCCACGCCCUAAACGAUGAGUGCCAGGUGUCGGGAAGCUUAGCUUCUCGGCGCCGCAGCUAACGCCUUAAGCACUCCGCCUGGGGAGUACGGCCGCAAGGUUAAACUCAAAGGAAUUGACGG
Molecule: ribosomal RNA, 560 nt
Filed under: uncultured bacterium
Lineage: Bacteria
Description: bacterial SSU rRNA
Rfam family: Bacterial small subunit ribosomal RNA
Source: RNAcentral